RNAcentral lists this ribosomal RNA (362 nucleotides) under uncultured bacterium. RNAcentral describes it as "partial 16S ribosomal RNA". It matches the Rfam family "Bacterial small subunit ribosomal RNA", at positions 338 to 717 of the family's 1533-position model. The record is from RNAcentral.
CCUACGGGAGGCAGCAGUGGGGAAUAUUGCACAAUGGGGGAAACCCUGAUGCAGCGACGCCGCGUGAAGGAAGAAGUAUUUCGGUAUGUAAACUUCUAUCAGCAGGGAAGAAAAUGACGGUACCUGACUAAGAAGCCCCGGCUAACGACGUGCCAGCAGCCGCGGUAAUACGUAGGGGGCAAGCGUUAUCCGGAUUUACUGGGUGGAAAGGGAGCGGAGGCGGGGCAGCAAGUCAGAAGUGAAAGCCCGGGGCUCAACUCCGGGACUGCUUUUGAAACUGUUGAGCUAGAUUGCAGGAGAGUUUAGUGGAAUUCCUCGUGUAGCGGUGAAAUGCGUAGCUAUUAGGAGGAACACCAGUGGCG